CCUACGGGAGGCAGCAGUAGGGAAUCUUCCACAAUGGGCGAAAGCCUGAUGGAGCAACGCCGCGUGGGUGAAGAAGGUCUUCGGAUCGUAAAACCCUGUUGUUAGAGAAGAAAGUGCGUGAGAGUAACUGUUCACGUUUCGACGGUAUCUAACCAGAAAGCCACGGCUAACUACGUGCCAGCAGCCGCGGGAAUACGUAGGUGGCAAGCGUUAUCCGGAUUUAUUGGGCGUAAAGGGAACACAGGCGGUCUUUUAAGUCUGAUGUGAAAGCCUUCGGCUUAACCAGAGUAGUGCAUUGGAAACUGGGAGACUUGAGUGCAGAAGAGGAGAGUGGAACUCGAUGUGUAGCGGUGAAAUGCUUAGAUAUAUGGAAGAACACCAGUGGCGAAGGCGGCUCUCUGGUCUGUAACUGACGCUGAGGUUCGAAAGCGUGGGUAGCAAACAGGAUUAGAUACCCUUGUAGUC
This 465-nucleotide ribosomal RNA is filed under the name uncultured bacterium. RNAcentral describes it as "partial 16S ribosomal RNA". It matches the Rfam family "Bacterial small subunit ribosomal RNA", at positions 338 to 795 of the family's 1533-position model. The record is from RNAcentral.